GAUGAACGCUGGCGGCGUGCCUAAUACAUGCAAGUCGUACGGAAAGGCCCUUCGGGGUACUCAAGUGGCGGACGGCUGAGUAACGCGUGGGAACGUGCCCCAAAGUGAGGGAUAACGCACCGAAAGGUGUGCUAAUACCGCAUAUGGUCUUCGGAUUAAAGCUUCGGCGCUUUGGGAGCGGCCCGCGUACGAUUAGAUAGUUGGUGAGGUAAUGGCUCACCAAGUCGACGAUCGUUAGCUGGUCUGAGAGGAUGAUCAGCCAGACUGGGACUGAGACACGGCCCAGACUCCUACGGGAGGCAGCAGUAAGGAAUUUUCCACAAUGGGGGCAACCCUGAUGGAGCAACGCCGCGUGCAGGAUGAAGGUUUUCGGAUCGUAAACUGCUUUUAUAAGUGAAGAAUAUGACGGUAACUUAUGAAUAAGGAUCGGCUAACUACGUGCCAGCAGCCGCGGUAA
Molecule: ribosomal RNA, 457 nt
Filed under: uncultured bacterium
Lineage: Bacteria
Description: partial 16S ribosomal RNA
Rfam family: Bacterial small subunit ribosomal RNA
Source: RNAcentral